RNAcentral lists this ribosomal RNA (253 nucleotides) under uncultured bacterium. RNAcentral's name for it is "partial 16S ribosomal RNA". It matches the Rfam family "Bacterial small subunit ribosomal RNA", at positions 524 to 776 of the family's 1533-position model. The record is from RNAcentral.
UACGUAGGGUGCAAGCGUUGUCCGGAAUUAUUGGGCGUAAAGAGCUCGUAGGCGGCUUGUCACGUCGGGUGUGAAAGCCCGGGGCUUAACCCCGGGUCUGCAUUCGAUACGGGCUAGCUAGAGUGUGGUAGGGGAGAUCGGAAUUCCUGGUGUAGCGGUGAAAUGCGCAGAUAUCAGGAGGAACACCGGUGGCGAAGGCGGAUCUCUGGGCCAUUACUGACGCUGAGGAGCGAAAGCGUGGGGAGCGAACAGG